Small nuclear RNA from Jaculus jaculus (lesser Egyptian jerboa), 104 nucleotides. Lineage: Eukaryota; Metazoa; Chordata; Mammalia; Rodentia; Dipodidae. The record is from RefSeq and is a predicted model, not a curated record.
GUGCUUGCUUUGGCAGCACAUAUACUAAAAUUGGAAGGAUACAGAGAAAAUUAGCAUGGCCCCUGCGCAAGGACAUGCAAAUUUGUGAAGUGUUUCAUUUCUUU